GCGGCUGCUUCCUGCCCGCUACGUCCUCCGCGGUGCAGCGGGGACCGGCUGCUCAGGGGCUCCCUGAGUUCUGUGAGGAGUGGCCCGUGGGACGGGGCCCGCGGGUCUGGUUCUGCUGGCUACACGCGUCAGAACCCAGCUGUCUGCGGGCGUGGGGAGCCGCCACGCACACGUCGCACACGUCGCACACGUCGGGGUUGGGUCUGCAGACCCCUCCCACCCCAGUGGAGACGCCCCUCGCCCUCCGCUGAGCCUCCCGGGCAGCGAGACCUUCCCAGAGGGUUUAACCAGGGUUUGUCGAGUUUCUGCAAAUCGCCCAUUGUCCUUUUGAUUUUGGUUGGUUGUAGACCCACAAACUUACAUUCAAGUGUUUACGGGCAGAGAUUAUGUAAACAAUUAUUGUAGAGUUAAGAAAACACAUAAUCACAGAAGGAGCUGGUUGUUGAUACAUUUAAAAAAUUUGACUUUUUCUCAGAAUAAAAAAGGGCGAAGAACUGUGAACGGCCCACAGCCCACAUGCACGCUGUGUAGACUGAGUCUAAUCGAAUCCGCCCAUUAUUCCUCCUAGCAGGGGGCACAGGUGUGCUGGUGCUGGGUGGUGCCGGGCGGCAUCUGCUCUGGGAGAGGCCAGAGCCUCGGCGGUGGGAUGUCACACCACCCGGAGCUGUCACACCACCCGGAGCUGUCACACCACCCGGAGCUGUCACACCACCCGCUGAGCGGUGCCGCCCUCCCCCGAGCCAGCACGCGGUCCCAGCCAGGACACACGGGAGAGGCCGGCGAGGAAAAAGCAGCAUCGCAGUGUUUACCGAAGGGCCGUCUGUCGUUCUCCUGAAUGAGGUCCCAGGGGAGGUCGCACUGAAGCGGAUGCUGAGAGACAAUCAAACCUUUCACGGACACAGAAGGACGGUGCUGUCUGUCUCCACGCAGGAGACAGAGACGAGCCUUUGGCCGCCAGCUCUCUGAGUUGUCAGCCUAGGACGCUGGUUUAGUCGGGCGCGCUGUGAGAUGAUCGAUAUUCCAGACACUCACGUUGAAAUCUGGUGGAAUCCCUGAGCACAAACCAGAAACUAUGUGUCGGCGUCUGCGCAUCUUACGACCUUCUCAGUGACGGGGAAGGCGAGGCGGUCGAUGCGGCAUGCGGUGACGCACGGGGGCGAAGCCCGCGACCCACACUGUCCCGCGUCCCACACUGUCCCGCGUCCCACACUGUCCCGCGACCCACACUGCCUGUGACCCACACUGUCCCGCGUC
Pteropus alecto (black flying fox) is the source of this 1254-nucleotide long non-coding RNA. RefSeq lists it as uncharacterized. The record is from RefSeq and is a predicted model, not a curated record. The transcript has 3 exons. Lineage: Eukaryota; Metazoa; Chordata; Mammalia; Chiroptera; Pteropodidae.